Molecule: ribosomal RNA, 467 nt
Filed under: uncultured bacterium
Lineage: Bacteria
Description: bacterial SSU rRNA
Rfam family: Bacterial small subunit ribosomal RNA
Source: RNAcentral
CCCAGACUCCUACGGGAGGCAGCAGUGAGGAAUAUUGGUCAAUGGGCUUACGCCUGAACCAGCCAAGUCGCGUGAGGGAAGACUGCCCUAUGGGUUGUAAACCUCUUUUGUCAGGGAGCAAUUGGCGCUACGUGUAGCGUUAUCGAGAGUACCUGAAGAAAAAGCAUCGGCUAACUCCGUGCCAGCAGCCGCGGUAAUACGGAGGAUGCGAGCGUUAUCCGGAUUUACUGGGUGUAAAGGGAGCGUAGACGGCAGUGCAAGUCUGAAGUGAAAGCCCCGGGCUUAACCCGGGAAUUGCUUUGGAAACUGUACGGCUGGAGUGCUGGAGAGGUAAGCGGAAUUCCUAGUGUAGCGGUGAAAUGCGUAGAUAUUAGGAGGAACACCAGUGGCGAAGGCGGCUUACUGGACAGUAACUGACGUUGAGGCUCGAAAGCGUGGGGAGCAAACAGGAUUAGAUACCCUUGUAA